GGGUCAAUGAUGAAAUCAUUGUCUUGACUCAAGUGAGGUGUUGUCUUAAAAGUCUUGUACAAUAGAGUUAUGGUGAGGACC
This 81-nucleotide small nucleolar RNA is filed under the name Carlito syrichta (Philippine tarsier). Its description in RNAcentral is "Small nucleolar RNA SNORD115 (ENSTSYG00000030174.1)". It matches the Rfam family "Small nucleolar RNA SNORD115". From Rfam's summary of the family: HBII-52 is a member of the C/D class of snoRNAs, which contain the C (UGAUGA) and D (CUGA) box motifs. HBII-52 is encoded in a tandemly repeated array with another C/D snoRNA, HBII-85, in the Prader-Willi syndrome (PWS) region of chromosome 15. Lineage: Eukaryota; Metazoa; Chordata; Mammalia; Primates; Tarsiidae. The record is from Rfam by way of RNAcentral.